Molecule: ribosomal RNA, 253 nt
Filed under: uncultured bacterium
Lineage: Bacteria
Description: partial 16S ribosomal RNA
Rfam family: Bacterial small subunit ribosomal RNA
Source: RNAcentral
UACAGAGGUGGCAAGCGUUGUUCGGAAUUAUUGGGCGUAAAGGGCGCGUAGGCGGCUAAGUAAGUCUCGGGUGAAAUCCCUCGGCUCAACCGAGGAACUGCCUUGGAAACUGCCUGGCUUGAGGCCGGGAGAGGAUGGUGGAAUUCCCAGUGUAGCGGUGAAAUGCGUAGAUAUUGGGAGGAACGCCGGUGGCGAAGGCGGCCAUCUGGACCGGUCCUGACGCUGAGGCGCGAAAGCGUGGGGAGCAAACAGG